UACGUAGGGUGCGAGCGUUAAUCGGAAUUACUGGGCGUAAAGCGUGCGCAGGCGGCUUUGCAAGACAGAUGUGAAAUCCCCGGGCUCAACCUGGGAACUGCAUUUGUGACUGCAAGGCUAGAGUACGGUAGAGGGGGAUGGAAUUUCGCGUGUAGCAGUGAAAUGCGUAGAUAUGCGGAGGAACACCAAUGGCGAAGGCAAUCCCCUGGGCCUGUACUGACGCUCAUGCACGAAAGCGUGGGGAGCAAACAGG
RNAcentral lists this ribosomal RNA (253 nucleotides) under uncultured bacterium. Its description in RNAcentral is "partial 16S ribosomal RNA". It matches the Rfam family "Bacterial small subunit ribosomal RNA", at positions 524 to 776 of the family's 1533-position model. The record is from RNAcentral.